RNAcentral lists this ribosomal RNA (406 nucleotides) under uncultured bacterium. RNAcentral describes it as "partial 16S ribosomal RNA". It matches the Rfam family "Bacterial small subunit ribosomal RNA", at positions 30 to 526 of the family's 1533-position model. The record is from RNAcentral.
AUUGAACGCUGGCGGCAGGCCUCACACAUGCAAGUCGAACGAGUGGCGGACGGGUGAGUAAUGUAUCGGAACCUGCCUGAUGGAGGGGGAUAACUACUGGAAACAGUAGCUAAUACCGCAUACCAUCAGAUCGGCCGAGAUCGGAUUAGCUUGUUGGUGGGGUAACGGCUCACCAAGGCGACGAUCCGUAGCUGGUCUGAGAGGAGGACCAGCCAAACUGGAACUGAGACACGGUCCAGACGCCUACGGGAGGCAGCAGUGGGGAAUAUUGGACAAUGGGCGAAAGCCUGAUGCAGCCAUGCCGCGUGUAUGAAGAAGGCCUUCGGGUUGUAAAGUACUUUCAGCGGGGAGGCGUUACCCGCAGAAGAAGCACCGGCUAACUCCGUGCCAGCCGCCGCGGUAAUUC